GUAGGUGAACCUGCGGAAGGAUCAUUAACACUUUUAUGUGCCUACUAAACUAAACCGGUGACCAAACCUGCUCGUGGGUUAGCUGUAGAGGUUGUAAUGGCCUUUGCUCUUGCUUCGCGAGGAUAAAUAAACUUUUAAUUUAACAAUAACUUUUGUAUUACUAACCUAAUUUGCUGGUCUCCAAGCCAGUAAAUAAAAAACGCUAACAACUCUUAGCAGUGGAUAUCUUGGUUCUC
Molecule: unclassified non-coding RNA, 236 nt
Filed under: rhizosphere metagenome
Description: partial ribosomal RNA internal transcribed spacer region
Source: RNAcentral